UUUGCAGUGGGCAAUGUAGAAACUCAUUU
RNAcentral lists this small RNA (29 nucleotides) under Arabidopsis thaliana (thale cress). RNAcentral's name for it is "ATSL001640". The record is from RNAcentral. Lineage: Eukaryota; Viridiplantae; Streptophyta; Magnoliopsida; Brassicales; Brassicaceae.